RNAcentral lists this ribosomal RNA (955 nucleotides) under uncultured SAR86 cluster bacterium. Its description in RNAcentral is "bacterial SSU rRNA". It matches the Rfam family "Bacterial small subunit ribosomal RNA", at positions 394 to 1342 of the family's 1533-position model. The record is from RNAcentral. Lineage: Bacteria; Pseudomonadati; Pseudomonadota; Gammaproteobacteria.
AUACCGCGUGUGUGAAGAAGGCCCUAGGGUUGUAAAGCACUUUAAGUUGGGAAGAAAAGUUAUUGGUUAAUACCCAAUGACCGUGACAUUACCAUCAGAAUAAGGACCGGCUAAUUCCGUGCCAGCAGCCGCGGUAAUACGGAAGGUCCAAGCGUUAAUCGGAAUUACUGGGCGUAAAGCGCGCGUAGGUGGUUUAUUAAGUUGGAUGUGAAAUCCCCGGGCCCAACCUGGGAACUGCAUCCAAAACUGAUUCACUAGAGUACGAUAGAGGGAGGUAGAAUUCACACGUGUAGCGGUGGAAUGCGUAGAUAUUGUGAAGAAUACCAAUGGCGAAGGCAGCCUCCUGGAUCUGUACUGACGCUGAGGUGCGAAAGCGUGGGUAGCGAACAGGAUUAGAUACCCUGGUAGUCCACGCCGUAAACGAUGUCAACUAGCUGUUGGGGAACUAUGUUCUUCAGUGGCGCAGCUAACGUAGUAAGUUGACCGCCUGGGGAGUACGGCCGCAAGGCUAAAACUCAAAUGAAUUGACGGGGACCCGCACAAGCGGUGGAGCAUGUGGUUUAAUUCGAUGCAACGCGAAAAACCUUACCUAUACUUGACAUACUUGGAAUGCUUUGUAAUGAAGCAGUGCCUUCGGGAGCCAAGAUACAGGUGCUGCAUGGCUGUCGUCAGCUCGUGUCGUGAGAUGUUCCGUUAAGUCGGAUAACGAGCGCAACCCUUACCCUUAUUUGCCAGCGAUUCGGUCGGGAACUAUAAGGGGACUGCCGGUGAUAAACCGGAGGAAGGUGAGGACGACGUCAAGUCAUCAUGGCCCUUACGUAUAGGGCUACACACGUGCUACAAUGGAGAAUACAGACGGACGCUAAGCCGCGAGGUGGUGCUAAUCCUAGAAAAUUCUUCGUAGUCCGGAUUGGAGUCUGCAACUCGACUCCAUGAAGUCGGAAUCGCUAGUAAU